Molecule: ribosomal RNA, 440 nt
Filed under: uncultured bacterium
Lineage: Bacteria
Description: partial 16S ribosomal RNA
Rfam family: Bacterial small subunit ribosomal RNA
Source: RNAcentral
CCUACGGGAGGCAGCAGUGGGGAAUAUUGCACAAUGGGGGAAACCCUGAUGCAGCGACGCCGCGUGAGUGAAGAAGUAAUUCGUUAUGUAAAGCUCUAUCAGCAGGGAAGAAAAUGACGGUACCUGAGUAAGAAGCCGCGGCUAACUACGUGCCAGCAGCCGCGGGAAUACGUAGGGGGCAAGCGUUAUCCGGAUUUUCUGGGUGGAAAGGGAGCGUAGACGGUGAGGCAAGUCUGGAGUGAAAGGCCGCGGCCUAACUGCGGAACUGCUUUGGAAACUGGAGGACUAGAGUGCGGGAGGGGUAAGCGGAAUUCCUAGUGUAGCGGUGAAAUGCGUAGAUAUUAGGAGGAACACCGGUGGCGAAGGCGGCUUACUGGACCGUAACUGACGUUGAGGCUCGAAAGCGUGGGGAGCAAACAGGAUUAGAUACCCGUGUAGUC